ACCCCACACACACAUAACCUUUUCUCAUUGAAAGCAAAUUCCCAUGCAAAUGUGAAGGAAAAAGAAGAAAUCUGAAAGGAAAAAUAGUAAUUUGCAACUCCUGAAAAACAGAAGAAAAAAUUGAUUCUAUUCCGGAGAACAGCUGCUUUUAUUUAUGCAUAAUCAAAUUCCAAAGCCAGAAGUUGGUAAGAAUGGAUUUAUCUCCCCACUAUCUAAUAUGUAUCCAGAGCUGACCAAUUGAGCUCAUCGGUACAACAAAGCAGGUCCUGACCCAGGGUAACCCAACCCUUAUUUUGCUGCUCUGCAGUGACUCCUUGUCCUGUGUCCCCGCUAUCCAUGCCUGACUUUGAUCCUCACUGCUUUACAAUGAGGCACUAAUGGCACUGGAAUGGAGGAAACAGGUUACUCUGACUUCCAACAGUUCGUAGACCUGCACAGGCUUUAUGCUGUGUCUGAGCUCCGCUAUGCACCUCUGCAUACUUGAAUCUCUUUUCAGCACAAAUUACUGGCAGGUUCCUGAAACUCUUCUUGGUUUCCAGCUCUUAUCUGGGGAUCAAAAAUAGCCACCAUGGCUCACAGAACCUAAGCCAAGGUGCCCCAGCCAACCCCAGGUAGCAACAUAAUCUCUUAAGAAGGCAUCCAGAACAGAAGAAACGAAGAUUAAAAUGAACGGUUGAAGUUGCCACAUCAAUUUCUUAAAGUAUUCCUGCCAGGAUUGAGCACACCACGGCAUUCAUGCAGUGGGAAACCACAGGUUUUCAAAGAAACAUGUAGAAUGAUUUAGCCAUUCUGGAUGAAUUUAGAGGCAAGGUCUUUUUAGGAAGAUGGGUAAAAAUACUUCACAUCUCUUACCACUUGUUUUUGUUUUCUGAACCCAUCUUUGAAAUACAAAGGAAGUUAAGAGAACACAUAAAGAUGAUGGGGAAAAGUCUGUAUCAAACUUAGGAGGGAAGGAAAUCCAGAGAUACAGCUGCAACUCCAUCUUUUUCUGAUCUGCACCAUAGCUGUGCCCAGACAAUUUAAACAUGUUAUAAUUCUGUAAUAAAAACUGUUGUUAACCACAAUCGAGCUGUGACUUGUUCACAUAAAAGGACUUUCUUAAUAGUGUUUACUUAUACGUGUAUUAAAUAGAGCCUGCUGGGUUAAGGAGAAUAGUGGUAAGUAUUUUAAUUGCAGGUCUUUAACUAGCAAGAACUUUAUCCUGUUUCCUCACAGAGGUAGUCAUUACCGAACCGGCUCAGAGGGCAGAAGAUUAAGCACCUAAACCAUUACACAGGGUGUUGAAAACUCGGGGCUUCAUGUAAAUGCCAAGUAUCCUUAGUGUUCAUUUCCCAUUGGGUUUAGUCCCUUGCACUGUCUUCCCAGAAAAACAUCUGAGUUUUCCAAGCGAGUUACAUGGUAGUGAAUUUCUCCUAAAGCUGGUA
Molecule: long non-coding RNA, 1424 nt
Organism: Corvus hawaiiensis (hawaiian crow)
Lineage: Eukaryota; Metazoa; Chordata; Aves; Passeriformes; Corvidae
Exons: 3
Source: RefSeq, a predicted model, not a curated record